This 1235-nucleotide ribosomal RNA is filed under the name uncultured Cyanobacterium sp. Its description in RNAcentral is "bacterial SSU rRNA". It matches the Rfam family "Bacterial small subunit ribosomal RNA", at positions 70 to 1438 of the family's 1533-position model. The record is from RNAcentral. Lineage: Bacteria; Bacillati; Cyanobacteriota; Cyanophyceae; Chroococcales; Geminocystaceae.
GACGUUUUUUUCGGAAACUAUUAAACUGGCGAACGGGUUAGUAACGCGUGCCUGCGUAUGAUUAGCUUGUUGGUAAGGUAAUGGCUUACCAAGGCCACGAUCAGUAGCUGGUUUGAGAGAACGAUCAGCCACACUGGGACUGAGACACGGCCCAGACUCCUCCGGGAGGCAGCAGUGAGGAAUUUUCCGCAAUGGGCGAAAGCCUGACGGAGCAAUACCGCGUGAGGGAUGAAGGAUUUUGGUCUGUAAACCUCUUUUCUCAAGAAAGAAGUUCUGACGGUACUUGAGGAAUAAGCAUCGGCUAACUCCGUGCCAGCAGCCGCGGUAAUACGGGGGAUGCAAGCGUUAUCCGGAAUUAUUGGGCGUAAAGCGCCUGUAGGUGGUUUACUAAGUCUGUUGUUAAAGACUAGGGCUUAACUCUAGAGAAGCAUUGGAAACUGGUAGGCUUGAGUUUGAUAGGGGUAGAGGGAAUUUCUAGUGUAGCGGUGAAAUGCGUAGAUAUUAGAAAGAACACCGGUGGCGAAGGCGCUCUACUGGAUCAUUACUGACACUCAGAGGCGAAAGCUAAAGUAGCAAAAGGGAUUAGAUACCCCCGUAGUCUUAGCCGUAAACGAUGGAUACUAGAUGUUGUAUUCUUAUACAGUGUCGUAGCUAACGCGUUAAGUAUCCCGCCUGGGGAGUACGCUCGCAAGGGUGAAACUCAAAGGAAUUGACGGGGGCCCGCACAAGCGGUGGAGCAUGUGGUUUAAUUCGAUGCAACGCGAAGAACCUUACCAAGGUUUGACAUACUACAAAUUUUUGUGAAAGCAAGAAAUGCCUUCGGGAAUGUAGAUACAGGUGGUGCAUGGCUGUCGUCAGCUCGUGUCGUGAGAUGUUGGGUUAAGUCCCGCAACGAGCGCAACCCUUGUUUUUAGUUGCUAACUUAGUUAGGUUAUCUAAAGAGACUGCCGGUGACAAACCGGAGGAAGGUGAGGAUGACGUCAAGUCAGCAUGCCCCUUAUACCUUGGGCUACACACGUGCUACAAUGGUUAAGACAAAGAGUUGCAAGCUUGUGAAAGUUAGCUAAUCUCAUAAACUUGGCCUAAGUUCGGAUUGUAGGCUGCAACUCGCCUACAUGAAGUCGGAAUCGCUAGUAAUCGCUGGUCAGCCAUACAGCGGUGAAUCCGUUCCCGGGCCUUGUACACACCGCCCGUCACACCAUGGGAGCUGGUCAUACCCGAAACCGUUUGCUUAA